This 253-nucleotide ribosomal RNA is filed under the name uncultured bacterium. Its description in RNAcentral is "partial 16S ribosomal RNA". It matches the Rfam family "Bacterial small subunit ribosomal RNA", at positions 524 to 776 of the family's 1533-position model. The record is from RNAcentral.
UACAGAGGUCCCAAGCGUUAUCCGGAUUUACUGGGCGUAAAGGGUGUGCAGGCGGACUGUUAAGUGGUGCAUGAAAUCUCCGCGCUUAACGUGGAGAGGCUGUGCCAGACUGGCAGUCUGGAGUACGUGAGAGGGUUGUGGAAUUCCGGGUGUAGUGGUGAAAUGCGUAGAGAUCCGGAGGAACACCAGAGGCGAAGGCGGCGACCUGGCACGUUACUGACGCUCAUACACGACAGCAUGGGGAGCGAACGGG